AUUGAGUAUUUUUCAAUUAUUCUUUUAUAACAAAAGAAAAAAAUAUUGUGAAAAUUCUACCAUCAAAAUUGGAUAGAAAUGAAAAAACUCCAUUUAUGAUUUCUCAAUAUGGUUACACAAGAAACGAAAAUCGCCUUCAAAGUAGUGUACACUCUAGUAUGGUUAUUUUUUACAAGUUAUUAUUUUUGGGGUGCACAAGAAGUAACUGUAACAACUCCGAUUGAUGAAUCUGGUUGGGUACCAGAUGGAGCAUUUGCAUCUGAAAUUAUGCAAACUGGAACACAGCCUGAAGAGCAAAGCGCUUAAUGUUAUUAAACUUGCAUAAAGAAAUUAACUGUGAUAAAUUUUAAUUAUCUGUCUCUGAUACAAUAAAUGGUGUCAAAUAAAUGUGAA
Molecule: long non-coding RNA, 393 nt
Organism: Bombus terrestris (buff-tailed bumblebee)
Lineage: Eukaryota; Metazoa; Arthropoda; Insecta; Hymenoptera; Apidae
Exons: 2
Source: RefSeq, a predicted model, not a curated record